This 1193-nucleotide long non-coding RNA is filed under the name Heterocephalus glaber (naked mole-rat). Its description in RNAcentral is "lncRNA (ENSHGLG00100046147.1)". Lineage: Eukaryota; Metazoa; Chordata; Mammalia; Rodentia; Bathyergidae. The record is from RNAcentral.
CCUGUCCUUCGACAUGAACACCUAGAAGCGCGGGUCGUGGGCUCUGCUAGGCCAGGCCGCCGCCGCCUGAGACCCGAUGCCCCGCCGCGCCCAGGGCCGCAGAGGCCAGCAACGCCUGCCCGCCGGCGCCCUCUGCUGGCCGCGGCUUCCGCGGAGACGAACCGCGCAGGGCCGGGAAGGCCCCCGAUGGGGAGGCCGCGAAAACAGCCGAGGGCGGUGAAACUCCGCUUCCGGUUUCGUAUUUUGAGUUGGGGGGGGGGUCAAGUUCUGUGAAACAUCCUGAACACUGAGAUCUGACAUCUCCUGAGCGCUUUCGGGUUUGCCGGGGUGCUGAGCACGGAGCGCGGCUGCGCCCACUGCCCGGCACCUUCACGCGGGCGGCCUGGGGCGUCGGGGUCCCCGCCGAGGUCCGCCCCGGCCUUUCGGGUCGCUUCUUUCACGGAGGGCGACGCGCUGCACCCUCCCGGUCCGCCCACCGCCCGCCUGCCCGGGGCGUCUCUUCCGCUGCGGGCGACCCCCAGCUCCGGACGCGGCGUCGCCCCCGGGGAGGGUCCGCCCACCUCCGGGCUGCGCGGCGCCGCGGCUCACGCACGUCUGCCCUCCCGUUUCCGUUUCCGUUCUGGGGUGCGCACUGAGAUGUUCGGUCCCUUUCGUGGGUCUCUCCUUGUCGAGUCCCCCUCCAGGUCCCGGUGAGAGGCUGAGACCAGACAGCGAAGAGCGAGCGUGGCACAAGCCCUGAAGACAGCACCCGAGAGAAGCAAGCCCCCGCCCCCGGAAGUGACAGAGUGCUCUGCUGGCAGCCCCACCUCCCAAGUCACUCGGGGAACAAUCGCCUAACUUCCCCACCACGAAGCUCCGCUUACAGUGCCCACCGAGAAGUUCAAACGUGCAGUGGAUUUAAACCUCACCUCUGGCUGCAGCCAAACACCUGCCUCCACUCUGUCCCCCCAGGCCCCUUGCCCCUAUAGGAGUCACCUAGCCAGCCCCUGGCCGCUGCUCUGCCAUUGUUCGAGACAGCCCGGCACCUGUCCCCUAAUAAAGGCUUCGUCUUGGGUGUUGUGUUUUCGGCUCAUUCUCGUCCUCUCCCAAAGCACCAAUACGCAGGGCCCCUUCCGGGGAGUCCCGGAGCAGCUGUGUGCAGCCACAGCAGAAGGGGGCUGCCGUGCUGGGGCGGGGAGCAAGCAGCAAAGGCC